Zalophus californianus (California sea lion) is the source of this 280-nucleotide long non-coding RNA. RefSeq lists it as uncharacterized. NCBI's taxonomy places the organism in Eukaryota, Metazoa, Chordata, Mammalia, Carnivora, Otariidae. The transcript is spliced from 3 exons. The record is from RefSeq and is a predicted model, not a curated record.
CUUUGAGUAACGCUGUCAGAGCCCUGAGUUUCCCGCUUGUCUCCACCAAGGACUGGUCUUCGGCUUUCACCAAUUCAAUCCCGGUAGCAAGAAAGCAGCUGAAAACCUAAAUGACUUCUGGAUCGAUCCUCUCUCCUGGAUGCUUUGUACUACCUGACAUCUGGGACUCGUUUCCUCAACUGCAAACUGAGAGCUGCAGGACAAGUUUACCAUGUAAUAACUCCCAUUCCCUGGCUGCUGACCGAGGGUCAAGUGCUUCUCACACAGUAUUUCGUUGGAG